Molecule: ribosomal RNA, 1085 nt
Filed under: uncultured bacterium
Lineage: Bacteria
Description: bacterial SSU rRNA
Rfam family: Bacterial small subunit ribosomal RNA
Source: RNAcentral
AGGUUGAACGGCCACAUUGGGAAUGAGACACGGCCCAGAUUCCUUCGGGAGGCAGCAGUGGGGGAUAUUGCACAAUGGGGGAAACCCUGAUGCAGCAACGCCGCGUGAGGGAAGAAGGUUUUCGGAUUGUAAACCUCUGUUUUUAGUGAAGAAACAAAUGACGGUAGCUAAAGAGGAAGCCACGGCUAACUACGUGCCAGCAGCCGCGGUAAUACGUAGGUGGCAAGCGUUGUCCGGAAUUACUGGGUGUAAAGGGUGCGCAGGCGGGACUGCAAGUUGGAUGUGAAAUACCGAGGCUCAACCUCGGAGCUGCAUCCAAAACUGUAGUUCUUGAGUGAAGUAGAGGUAAGCGGAAUUCCGAGUGUAGCGGUGAAAUGCGUAGAUAUUCGGAGGAACACCAGUGGCGAAGGCGGCUUACUGGGCUUUAACUGACGCUGAGGCACGAAAGCAUGGGGAGCAAACAGGAUUAGAUACCCUGGUAGUCCACGCCGUAAACGAUGAAUGCUAGGUGUGGGGGGACUGACCCCUUCCGUGCCGGAGUAAACACAAUAAGCAUUCCACCUGGGGAGUACGACCGCAAGGUUGAAACUCAAAGGAAUUGACGGGGGCCCGCACAAGCAGUGGAGUAUGUGGUUUAAUUCGAAGCAACGCGAAGAACCUUACCAGGUCUUGACAUCCAACUAACGAACUAGAGAUAGAUUAGGUGCCCUUCGGGGAAAGUUGAGACAGGUGGUGCAUGGUUGUCGUCAGCUCGUGUCGUGAGAUGUUGGGUUAAGUCCCGCAACGAGCGCAACCCCUGCCAUUAGUUGCUACGCAAGAGCACUCUAAUGGGACCGCUACCGACAAGGUGGAGGAAGGUGGGGACGACGUCAAAUCAUCAUGCCCCUUAUGAUUUGGGCUACACACGUGCUACAAUGGCGUAAACAAAGGGAAGCGAGAGGGUGACCUUGAGCAAACCCCAAAAAUAACGUCCCAGUUCGGACUGUAGUCUGCAACUCGACUACACGAAGCUGGAAUCGCUAGUAAUCGCGGAUCAGAAUGCCGCGGUGAAUACGUUCCCGGGUCUUGCACUCACCGCCCGUCAA